This is a non-coding RNA of Armillaria fumosa, 99 nucleotides long. The record is from the annotation of a GenBank genome assembly. NCBI's taxonomy places the organism in Eukaryota, Fungi, Basidiomycota, Agaricomycetes, Agaricales, Physalacriaceae.
CCGAUCUUAGCUCAGUUGGAAGAGCGUGGGACUGUAAUUGGAUACGGGUGCCUAGCAUUAAUUAUCCCGAGGCCGUGCGUUCGAUCCGCACAGAUCGGA